GUGGGGAAUAUUGGACAAUGGGCGAAAGCCUGAUCCAGCCAUGCCGCGUGUGUGAAGAAGGUCUUCGGAUUGUAAAGCACUUUAAGUUGGGAGGAAGGGUAGUAACCUAAUACGUUGCUACUUUGACGUUACCGACAGAAUAAGCACCGGCUAACUUCGUGCCAGCAGCCGCGGUAAUACGAAGGGUGCAAGCGUUAAUCGGAAUUACUGGGCGUAAAGCGCGCGUAGGUGGUUCAGUAAGUUGGAAGUGAAAUCCCCGGGCUCAACCUGGGAACUGCCUCCAAAAAUGCAUGACUAGAGUACGGUAGAGGGUAGUGGAAUUUCCUGUGUAGCGGUGAAAUGCGUAGAUAUAGGAAGGAACACCAGUGGCGAAGGCGACUACCUGGACUGAUACUGACACUGAGGUGCGAAAGCGUGGGGAGCAAACAGGAUUAGAAACCCUUGUAGUCC
RNAcentral lists this ribosomal RNA (450 nucleotides) under uncultured bacterium. Its description in RNAcentral is "partial 16S ribosomal RNA". It matches the Rfam family "Bacterial small subunit ribosomal RNA", at positions 354 to 796 of the family's 1533-position model. The record is from RNAcentral.